Long non-coding RNA from Corvus hawaiiensis (hawaiian crow), 9280 nucleotides. RefSeq lists it as uncharacterized. Lineage: Eukaryota; Metazoa; Chordata; Aves; Passeriformes; Corvidae. The transcript is spliced from 2 exons. The record is from RefSeq and is a predicted model, not a curated record.
AUCCCAGUGACCAGGGCCAUGCUCACAGCUCGCAAGGCAGGCACAGUGUCUUGGAGAAUUUGGGAUGAAGUCCUGGAAAUGGUUUGAUUUUGUUGGCCACUGAUUUUAGAACAGCUAGAAUUUUGCACUGAAAGUGACAGCAGCCCGAAUGUUUCGCUUGCUCGCCUCAUUACCAGUCCUCACACUUCUCAGGGCUUCAGCUGGCACGGUUCAAACUCCCUGUGGCCACUGCCCACUGCUUGGGCUGUCCGAUUGUUCCAGCCCAGUGUGAUGCAGUUUGCUUUUCCUCCAGGGCUCCACGAUGCUGAUGCAAGCCAGAUGUUUAAAGCACAGCCCAUUUCAGGGUUUGCACUACUCGGGCAAUAGUCUCCCCAGCCUUUUGCUCUGUCCCAGUGGAGCAGCACCCCUGCCAUGCCUGGGACUCUCAUGGGUGUGCAGGAGCACACCUAGUGCACCCCCACCAUCUGCCAUACACACGUGGCUUCCAAAAACUAGCUGGAAUCUUGCUCCAAGAUCCCAGCAGCCUCAUUUCCUUUAAUAGCCCACUUGAAACUUGAGUCUCAAAGGAGGCAGAAAGGUUUUCUCUGUAUUUAUUCCGAACUUGUUGUCACAAUAGCAUCUCCAUAUUCCUUUGGUGCAAACAAAAAGCUCCUUAUGUGUGAGCAGUGCAAGAUGUUAGCUGUACUUUAAAGCAAACAAACAGCAAAAAGCACCACACCUCUAAGAACAUUCAGCUCUACAGCCUUGGCUCCCACACAUCUCCCACACCCAUCUAUUACUGCUUUGCACUUGAGUUGCCUAUAGGGUCAAAAAGCUUUGGUUUUCAAAAAAGGUUACUCAUGAGACAGACUCCUAUUAAGAACAUUAAACAAGUCCUUGUGAUUCUGAAAAAAAUUACAUAUUGGGGUGCAAAAGAAGAAAAGUUACAUGCUUACUAGCUAGUGAAAUUUCUGGUUUUACUGUAGAGGUGACUAGUCACAUUCUUUUUCUUGUCCUACAGAAGAGCUUUUGAGAACUGAACAGGUAAUCUUAAAAUAGAACUUUGUUCUCAUUUUUUAAUGUCCACCUAUUGAGAGGUUGGGUUUUCAAAAAGCCCUUUUCAAUGGAGUAAUGGUCUCCUUUUCCUCAGCUCUUUCAUAGUCAUCCUGCCACAUGAAAGAAUCAUCCUCCAUGUCAUCUUUCAGAGUAACAGUUCACAAAAUUCGGGUCAUCACCAACAGAAAUGAUUUUGCAGUGGGUUUGGAAAUUCUGCAGGUAGGAGAAAAAAGGUGUCAGACCUUCAUUUGGUGUGCCUUGUCCCAGGUUCCCUGGCUGAAACAGGCAGGAAUUUGGCCAUACAGCUUUUAUGUGAUACUGAUUUAAGCCUUUGUACAAGCCACUGAGUCACAACAUGGAUUUUCAUGUUUGUUUUAAUGGAACCAUUAUGUUACGCUAGAAACAUGUGAUAACCAGAGGCUAAACUGCCUGUAUGGUCUUUGAAACAAUACAGAUUAUCCUCAUGAAGUUUGACAUACUGUGGACAACAAACUGUUGCUGGUCCCUUCUCUGGGUUUCCUUCCACAGAAGUCAGAAGACAUUGGGCCUAGGAAAGAGAGCAGCUUGUACUCCAAGCAGAGCUCUACUCUGAAACCAAAGGAAAAACAAAGCUAACUGAAAAAAAGAUGGAUAGACAACAGACAUGAACUAACAUGCCAUGGGACCCCGUGCACCAAGCUGUUCCAGGGCUUUCUGGAUCACACUGCAGACUGAGGCAAGCACACGUCCAGGUCUCUGCCAAGAGAUGCUUUGGGAUGAGCAGGCAGCAGCAAGGAUGUGAGCCAAGAGCCUGGUUGGGUGAAUUUUUUCUUUAGUGUUCCCUCCAGGAAACACCUGGGCUGCUGGUUUACAUACAGACCCUUCAUUAGCACAGUGGCUGUCACUUAGAGAGUCUUGUCCAGCAGGAAGGAAGGAAAAAAAAAAAAAAGUAAAAACUUUGAAAGGGAAAAUUUCUAAUCACACUGUGAUCAUAGUAAAGACCAUAAAUAAUCCCACUUCCAUCAAGUUGACUAGACCCCUUGGACAAAUAAUAAAUAACUUAGUUGAACAAGUCCAUUUGCUCAGGCUUCUGUUCUUAAAAUCAAGUGGAAAUACGAACUUCUUGAAGCACUGGAUGGAAGCCCAAGCUCACCUGCUUGUGCAAGAUCAUGACCAAGCUGCUCCCCAACCUGAAAUUUUGACACUGCCAGCAGUCAGUGUGCAAAGAGCCUCUGCUUUUCCUAAUAUGUGGAUAUGGACAAGGAAUUUAUGAUGGUAGAUUAAGUUCAUAAGUAGGAAUAGGAAGUAAUUUCUGCCCCACAGCAAUUAUUGGCCAUUCCUGUCUGCCUUGCUAAGGGUCUGGGAUGGGACUGAGUUCUAUUUAAUGUGAUAUUUUGUGAAUGACCUGUACAAGGCAAUGGGUGCACUGCCUCAAAAAAAAAAAAAAAAAAAAAAAAAAAAAAAAAAAAAAAAAAAAAAAAAAAUCACACUUCCCCUUUGAAGAAAUAAAUCUUUUAGCCUUUCAUCUCCUCUGCAGCAAAGACUAAAACGUCAUGGUGGGAAGAAUAAGUCACCUUAUUUUGCUGGUAACAGAGCAAUCAAGCUGUAAAUCCCAGGCCAAAAGGACAACAGUAAGCCAGACAGGUGAGAAAGUUUUCCUGAAGACCUGGCAUGUCUGAGAAGCCUUUGGUACUUGCAUUCUACCCACAGCAUCAGCCUGAGGGUGACAGGCCCUCCCAGGAAGGCAGGAGAACCCUGUAACUUUGGAAGAGACCUCGCUGUUUUAUCUGGUAAACUAAGCAGGAGCUGGCUGCCAGCCCGAGCAGUGGUACACAAUCCUCUGAACUGUUUAUCUAUUAAUACCCUUCCUGGCACUGCUUCAGCCCAUGCCAGAUAGCCUCCCACUGAAGGUCCUGGCAUGAGACAGGGGAUGGCAGUGGCCAGUAUGAAUUAAACAACAUUUGGAGUGUGGGAAAGAAUUCAGCCUGUAUCCAGAUGGCAGCACAAUGCACAGACAACAGGUUCUGUCCUGGUUUAUCUGCAGGCAGACCCUGUGGGCAGAGCAGGGUGCAGAGGUUCUUCACUGUCACUGUGGCUUCUGGUGCCCUGCUCAAGGCUGUCCAGGCUGUUGGACUGCUUGGAGACCCUGCUCAGGGCAGCUUCCCUGGGCUGAGACCUGGCUUUGGAGCCUUGCCCAAUUAGAAGUGUGUUAUUUGCUGUUUGCCUGCAGAAAUCUCUCUGCCCAUUACAUAGUGGGAGGUCAUUUCAUAGGCUGACAAGUGCAGCUGGAGAAGACUUCUGGGAGGCUGAGACUAACUUGCUGCAAUAACUACAAUUUUAUACCCAAGCCUCAGACAUCAUCUUGAGGAGCCAAGCUGAGCUCAGACCCUGGCUGGUAGCCAGUGAGUUUUUCUGCUCUUUAAGGCAAACAUCUUUAACAAAAAAGGCUGAGAAAGAGCAAGAGUCACUUUGAUUUCUUUUCCAGUGGUCACUAAUCCCUCCUUGGUACAGAUGCUGGUUUAUGUCAGGUUUUAGCAGUUGGCUCUGUUCAGCCUUCCUGCAGAGGAGCAGACUGACCAGUCCCUCUGUAUGGGUGUAGAUUUUGGCCAUCUGUUGAUAGAACAACACAAAAUAGAGCAGGAAGAUUAUGCCCUGUGUGAUAUGAAACAAACCCUUCACCAUGGAGACAUUCUCCUAGGUCUUCUUACUAGUGCUAGUUUAAUAUGAAAGGCAAUCUUCUGAAACACCAGUAGUAAAAAUUAGCAGAAUACUUCACUUAUCACCAUCUCAUUUCUGGCAUUAACUUUGUUUAUCCAUGCAGUUUGUGUUGCAGGAAAAACUAAAUUAUGUCUUUCUUUCUCGUUGGAGAAAUGUAUUAACACUGUUAUUGUGUUAGUGUUUUCUUUCCAAAUAGUUUUCCAUUUACUGUUAGAGCAUAUAGUUCACAUGGUCAAAUCACUGACAGAUGCAGAUCAAACAAAUACAAGUUUUCAAAGUCAGGGGUAUUUUUAUUUCUUUAAAUUAAGAUAACCAUCUUUCAGAUGAUUUUUCCACCAAAAGCUCUGUGCCAUAUUGUGUUAGGCCAGGUGAACGUCUGUAGCUUUUGUUUACUUGCAUUUAAUUUUAGCUUUGUGUUUUUGUGCAUCGCUUCCCUCUAACUCCCAGAAGUGAGAAGGAAGUGGGCUGAAGGUAUCAAGAGUGACCUUCAUGUUCACUUCAAAGCAAGUUAUAGUUGGUGCCUCACUAUUUUUAUACAUUAUUAAUCAUCUCCACUCUUAGGAGAAGUGUUUACUAGUAGAUACAAAAGUAAUCAGUACAGUCAUUAUGAUGCACAGCUACUGGAUUCAUUAGAAAGUGAUAAAGAACUGGUGAGGAAGAAUAUUGACUGGAAUUACAGGUUUAAGAAUGGGAUAAAAAGUUCAAACCUAAGUACGUGUAAAGACCGCUUGCACAAACUUUGUACAGUGCCAGUGUGUCCCCUUCUUACCCACUGGGACUAACUGGUGCCCUUUAAAUAUCCCAGGGUCUGUGUAACUAAGAGAGGAAGUUUCUGUUCAGUGAUUAAACCUCACUGGUGUCAGAAACUAGCUUCUAUUGUGUAAAUCUAGCCUGGCCUCAGCUGAGGUUUCUCUGGCUUCUCUCUUGCCUGCAGUUGUUUUUAAGAGUCUAUUUCUAUACCAGUUCUUAAAGGUCAGUAUCAGAUUAUCCUGCAUAAGAAGGAAGGAUGUAACACUUUGCAUCCUCAGGGCAGAUAUAGCCAGGAGUUUACUCUUGCCUGCAGUCCUGUCCACUCCUCUCCCCCAAAACAGAACAAACCCACAACCGAACGCAAAAGCAACAACAAGAAAAGAAAACAACCACCGAAAACCCCCGGACCUGUACACUCAUCCAGAACAGUCACCACUGGCAUUUCUCUGCAGAACACUUCCCCUUACAGAAAUCACACAGAACUGAUGGAAAGCCAAGAACAAAUUGUCUUAAGGACAGAUGAGUACCAGUGUUUUCCACAGUUCCAUGAUUUACCUUCAUCGUUUGGAUUAAAUCGGAUGCCGGAGGGCUUAGAGCAGUCCCAAUACUUAGCUGUUAAUCAGCUGGCAUCUGUUUAUCCUCCAGACCAGGAGAUCUCCUCCAGUUUUGAAGCCAAACUGUGAGCUAGGGCUCUUAACUAGUUGGUAUCGUUCACUUCUGCACAACCAUCUCUUGAACUCAUUGGUUUUACUCUGUGCUAGGUGUUUGAAAGCCUAGUUAGGAAGAGGCAGAAAAUAGCCACUUUCAGGGUGAGGUUGCCACAUACUUGGGCUGGAAUAAAUGGAUGUUUCCACUCCAUCAGGAGCAGUGUCACUGUGCCCUGGGAGCACACACAGAAACUCCUCCUGCUUUGAGGCAAGGCACGUGCAGAGGGCACGGAAGGUCUGAAGUCUCCUGGCACCCUCGCUUUGACUGGCCGUGCCACCAAAGAGGCUGAGGCCCUUGCAGGAAGGCAGGUGCCAAGAUUUUGGCUGUAUUCUCCAUCUUCUGACCUCUAGAAUACUUUUAAAUCCUCUGUUUCCAUUUCUGUCCUCAUAUCUUACGCUAACAAUUUGUGUUCCUUCUCCAGAUAGCCACAUCUUUCUGGCAUUUAACUGAUCUCUCAUUUCUCUGUGCCCCAGCCAAUAUGCUGUUCUCCUCAAGCCUCAGUUCUUCCAGUAUUGAUCUGAUUCUUCUUCCUUAACUCAUUUCUUCUCAAAUGCUCUUGGGUUUAUGAUUUCUACCACUACAAAAGGGAGUAAAUACUGUCAGGUUAUAUUUCAAGAAAGGGGAAAUUGAUGGAAGUAAGAUAUCAACUUGUCUUUGUAAUUAAAGGUUCUAGAAGCAGGAAAUAACCUGCCUCCUCUGACAAGCAAAAAAUGCAGUGGGCUUGCAAGUGGGAUCAGGAAAGUUAAUUUGGUUUUGAAAUACUGGAACAGGUAGAUGCAAUAUUUGCCAGAAGGUGAGAACACAACAGCAUCUUCACAGAUAACAAGAGCUUCCCAGCUGUUUCCAGAAUGCAUUCCUGAACAAACAACUCCUUGAAGAAACAGUAUAUCCUCACCCCUGUAAGUUCAAAUUAUUGGGCUUGAAUAGCAGAUCGAGGGGAGAAUUGCAUCUGUCACCAGACACAGCAGUCUGUGGCUGUCACCGAUCAAACGAGGUCAGAGGAGGACACUGUUUCCUAGUGACAAAGCUUAAUUACAAGGAAUAAAGGAAACCAGAGCCUUGCCAUUUUGCAGAGUGUUGUGUUGAACCACAGCACGUAGAUCUCCCUCACCCAAGGUUACAAAUAGAUAUUUCUUAAAAAGUGACAAUAUACUUCCAUUAGAAUAUACUUGAAGAGAAUUCACAGAGGUUGCCUCCAGAAAGCAAUCAGAAGCUUUAAACAGCUGUGAAAAGGCAAUGAAGGCAAAAGAUGCUUCUGUAAACUAAACUCGCGUUCACCUGGGACAAGAAUGUCUCUCAGUUUUCUUGUGCCAAUGAGGCAAAGAUGAGAGCACAGAAAUGCACAAAAGGAGGCUUUGGGGAAAGGUCUGAAGCACAGGAAUUGCCAAGUACGUACAGACUCACCAGAAGCAUCUACAUCCACCUUUCCACUCUGCUACUGACCUGCCUGAGCUGAAUCAAACUAAAAUUGGGCCAGGUCUGCCCUUUGGAGGGUCAGCAGCCACCCUGACACUCAGGUUUCAUCUUCCAUCACUGGGGAAGAGAAACAGAGUUCCCAGAAACGGCCCCCAUUUUCCACCCCAGCACAUCUGUGCGGAUCACAGACUCUGUCAGACCCACCUGAGGUGUCCUUGGUCAGCAGCACCUCGUGUGUGACCAGCCAGGACAGGAGGGGGCACAGCAGGCAGAGAGAGCACAGCUCUGCCCUUCCCCAGUUGCAGGUACAGUGCAGCAGGACAAUCUCACACCCAUGAUUUUGCAGCCAGAAUAUCUGUGCAGCUUUCAGGUUCCCAAGAGCUGUGCCUGCACCUGCCUGUCCGUGUAGGGAGGAUGAGUAGCAGCUGCUCCUGCACUGCUCAGAGCUCUGUGUAUUUACCUUCCAGAGCUUCGCAGGGGAAGCCGUGCCUUAGCAACAGCCAGGUGGUAUUAAAAAAGAGCCAAGUGACAUGUAGGAAGAGAAUUCAGGGUGAUGGUGGGGGAGAGAUUAUUCAAUGUUUUCCAUAUUUCCAUCUAACAGAAUUUAAUUUCCUUGAAGUUACUGCAGUCAAUGACAAGCAGAAGGGUGCACGUGAAAUACCUCUGAGCACGGAAAUAAAGCAUGACUAGACACACCAAAUAACCCAUGCAGACUGCAAGAGGUUGUUUAAAAAAUAAUUAUAUACUUGUCACUGAAGAAGCUUUUCUAUAUUCAUAAAUCCUUUUUCCUCAUAGCCUUUUCUGGUGGAAUUCAGAUAGCACACGUGCCAUUAUGCUAAACAACCAGUUCUGGAAUACCUCACUUCUCUCUUUUACAGGCAUUAAAGCAGUAGUUACACUUCUUAAUAGGGAUCAUUUUAGGGACAGUUAAGGCCUGUGCUUAGUCACUUCAUCAUUGACUAAAAUACAAACUCUGCUCAUAUGCUAUUAAAGAGAUUGGAAACAAAGCUUUAAAUAAGUACUUAGCUUGCUUUUAAAGCAAUGUGGUUUCUUUACCAUGAUAAAGUAUAAAAAUACAUAUGAGAUCAUAAAGCUCACAGUAAUUUUGUUGCUGAAGAAGUUUUACAGAUCUACUUGAAUUUAUUUGGUCUGAAGCUUGCCUUGGUCUAGCAUUUUUUUGAGUUGAAAACAUUUUUUAUACAAACAGCAUAUGAUUGAAUACAACUAAGCUUUUUUUAUACAUGUGUAAAGUGGACAAAAAUGAUUUUCCCUAAGUAAGGAAAUGCUAUAUAUAGAAGAAAAGCUAAAGACUUUCAAGUCACAGACUUCGGUAGGUUUGUUAACACCAUCCCCAGGGAGGCAGAAAGACAAUAAAAAAGCAAUUUCCUUCACAAGAAUAUACAGAACAUCAGAAACAGCAAGUACAGAGAGCAGUGUUGUGCAGAGUGGAAGUCAUUUAUCCUGUUGGCUCAUAUUUUGCACUCUACUGAUCAUCAUUCCCUGUUACCAUGAACAGGAGGUGCACACACAUCAGUAGGUAACACUGAGUUUUAAAAUUUUUUUUGACAAAUGUCACAACCUGAAUAAGCCGGGGAAAACGUGGACUCCACAACUCUUGAGAUGUAUGGUGUGGAAUGACAGCUCUGGGGCAGAAGGAAUGCUGCAGGGCAUUGCAGACCUCUUGGGGAUAAAGCAGUCUCUGUGCUCCAGAGUUGUCCCAGGGAGCACCAUGGCCAGGAAACUGCAUCCCUCAGGGGACCUGCACACAGUGCUGCUGCUAAGGGGGAGAAACCUGCAUCUUGACCUUCUGCAACUUCUUCUCAGACCUCGAGGGUAGCAGACCUGGGUUGUGGUAGAAAUUGGACUAGAUGCUCUUACUUGGUUUUUUCCUUCCCUCUUUUUUUAGCAGAUAUACCAAAAAAGAUUUCAUACUAAUGCAUACACACAAAAUUGUUAUUUAAAGUUACUACCGCUCGGGCUCAAAGACACACAGCUUCCACAAUGACAAGGGCAAACCAGAAGCUUGUCUGUAGCAAAUAAAAAUUAAUCUGGGGAUAGUGCUGAGCCAUUGGAAGCAGGGGGACUGAUUCUGCAGGAGCACAGUUACUGAGGUAGACCAGACAUCACAGAGGAAAUGCUAGAUGGCUGCACUGAAAGGGUUUAGGAAGGAGACUGGGAUGUGCACGGAUGUGUCAGAUUUCAACAGAUGGAAUGCUGAUCUGGGGUUUAUAUAAUUCAGAGCUGUUCUGACAGAGUACUCAGGGACAGACGUGCAGAGUGACAGAGAAAGCAGUAUUUAAGGAGCUUUGCCAUGUUUUCCCAUGCUCACUUGGAAAAAGAUGGAAAGAAAAGACCCAAAUAAGUUUUUCCAUCAUUUAAAAAAAAACCCAGCAUGUACACAAAAAAACCCCCAAAACAACAGAAAAAAAACCCCAAAAGUGACAGUGGCAGGAAUCCUUUCUUUGUGUCACCUCCCAGUUAGGUUUGUGCACCAAUAACACUGUAUUUAUAUUAAACCUGGAGCUCCAUAUUGACAGUUUUUCCACCAAUUCAGUACAUUGUAAAAGGUAUCUGCAAAUCAUUCAAAAUACACUUUGCCACUCCAGAUUUCUGUUAAGUAACACCUUCCUGAACUUCAAAGCAAAUAAAACUGGAAAUGUAAGGACAUUGUAAA